Molecule: long non-coding RNA, 445 nt
Organism: Apis florea (little honeybee)
Lineage: Eukaryota; Metazoa; Arthropoda; Insecta; Hymenoptera; Apidae
Source: RefSeq, a predicted model, not a curated record
CAUUUGGUUAACAUUUGUGAACUUGUUCAUGAUUCUUUUAAACGUUGAAAGAUAUUUAUUCUAAAGAAUUUUAAAAACAGACGAUGGUGAUUAAAAAUUUCCUAGGCGCGUAUAGUUUCGUAGGAAGAGGAUAUGAUUGGUCGGCAUAAAGAAUACAUGGUAACCGAGUUGACCGAUCAUGGGCCAUGGAUGGUCGUUGGGUCGGUUGAGGAGACCGUUGUAACAGUACCUCACGUGCCAUAGAGAUCCCAUAACCGGCUGCGCGUAAAAAAAUACGCUUCGGUGCAAUCGGUCAGUUGGGAUGCAACCGAAGCGAAAAGUAUAGUCGAGCAACUGUGAAAAUAAAUAUCUUGGAAAAUUCUGAGUUGGGCUCCAAAAGAAAAGCAAAGGAUUUGGGAAAAGUAUCGGUCCCAAAGUCAAGAAGAAGAAGAAGAAGAAGAAGAAG